UCUUUUUGCUUUAUUAUUUUUGACAACUGGUCAAUAAAAACACUAAACUAAGCAGGGUAGAGCCUGGUCAGUACCUGGAUGGGAGGCUACAGAGAAAAACUAGGUUGCUGUUAGAA
Molecule: ribosomal RNA, 116 nt
Filed under: Danio rerio (zebrafish)
Lineage: Eukaryota; Metazoa; Chordata; Actinopteri; Cypriniformes; Danionidae
Source: RNAcentral